CCCUAGGAGUGUUACAUAAAACGAAAGUAGCUUUAUAGCAAAAUCGUACACGAUGAACAGGGAA
RNAcentral lists this small RNA (64 nucleotides) under Clostridium grantii DSM 8605. RNAcentral's name for it is "RAGATH-18 RNA". It matches the Rfam family "RAGATH-18 RNA". Rfam says of the family: Actinobacteria, Firmicutes, Fusobacteria, Thermotogae (1 example). The record is from Rfam by way of RNAcentral. Lineage: Bacteria; Bacillati; Bacillota; Clostridia; Eubacteriales; Clostridiaceae.